This 1288-nucleotide ribosomal RNA is filed under the name Cronobacter sakazakii. RNAcentral describes it as "partial 23S ribosomal RNA". It matches the Rfam family "Bacterial large subunit ribosomal RNA", at positions 1660 to 2925 of the family's 2925-position model. The record is from RNAcentral. Lineage: Bacteria; Pseudomonadati; Pseudomonadota; Gammaproteobacteria; Enterobacterales; Enterobacteriaceae.
CAGGUGGUCAGGUAGAGAAUACCAAGGCGCUUGAGAGAACUCGGGUGAAGGAACUAGGCAAAAUGGUGCCGUAACUUCGGGAGAAGGCACGCUGACAUGUAGGUGAAGCCCCUGCGGGUGGAGCUGAAGUCAGUCGAAGAUACCAGCUGGCUGCAACUGUUUAUUAAAAACACAGCACUGUGCAAACACGAAAGUGGACGUAUACGGUGUGACGCCUGCCCGGUGCCGGAAGGUUAAUUGAUGGGGUUAUCGCAAGAGAAGCUCCUGAUCGAAGCCCCGGUAAACGGCGGCCGUAACUAUAACGGUCCUAAGGUAGCGAAAUUCCUUGUCGGGUAAGUUCCGACCUGCACGAAUGGCGUAAUGAUGGCCAGGCUGUCUCCACCCGAGACUCAGUGAAAUUGAACUCGCUGUGAAGAUGCAGUGUACCCGCGGCAAGACGGAAAGACCCCGUGAACCUUUACUACAGCUUGACACUGAACAUUGAGCCUUGAUGUGUAGGAUAGGUGGGAGGCUUUGAAGCGUGGACGCCAGUCUGCGUGGAGCCGACCUUGAAAUACCACCCUUUAAUGUUUGAUGUUCUAACCUGGCGCCGUGAUCCGGCGUGGGGACAGUGUCUGGUGGGUAGUUUGACUGGGGCGGUCUCCUCCCAAAGUGUAACGGAGGAGCACGAAGGUCAGCUAAUCCUGGUCGGACAUCAGGAGGUUAGUGCAAUGGCAUAAGCUGGCUUGACUGCGAGAGUGACGGCUCGAGCAGGUGCGAAAGCAGGUCAUAGUGAUCCGGUGGUUCUGUAUGGAAGGGCCAUCGCUCAACGGAUAAAAGGUACUCCGGGGAUAACAGGCUGAUACCGCCCAAGAGUUCAUAUCGACGGCGGUGUUUGGCACCUCGAUGUCGGCUCAUCACAUCCUGGGGCUGAAGUAGGUCCCAAGGGUAUGGCUGUUCGCCAUUUAAAGUGGUACGCGAGCUGGGUUUAGAACGUCGUGAGACAGUUCGGUCCCUAUCUGCCGUGGGCGCUGGAGAAUUGAGGGGGGCUGCUCCCAGUACGAGAGGACCGGAGUGGACGCAUCACUGGUGUUCGGGUUGUCAUGCCAAUGGCACUGCCCGGUAGCUAAAUGCGGAAGAGAUAAGUGCUGAAAGCAUCUAAGCACGAAACUUGCCCCGAGAUGAGUUCUCCCUGAGACUGUAAGUCUCCUGAAGGAACGUUGAAGACGACGACGUUGAUAGGCCGGGUGUGUAAGCGCAGCGAUGCGUUGAGCUAACCGGUACUAAUGAACCGUGAGGCUUAACCUUA